RNAcentral lists this ribosomal RNA (481 nucleotides) under uncultured bacterium. Its description in RNAcentral is "partial 16S ribosomal RNA". It matches the Rfam family "Bacterial small subunit ribosomal RNA", at positions 28 to 507 of the family's 1533-position model. The record is from RNAcentral.
GAUGAACGCUGGCGGCGUGCUUAACACAUGCCAGUCGAACGAAGCACUUUAUUUGAUUUCCUUCGGGACUGAUUAUUUUGUGACUGAGUGGCGGACGGGUGAGUAACGCGUGGGUAACCUGCCUUGUACAGGGGGAUAACAGUUGGAAACGGCUGCUAAUACCGCAUAAGCGCACAGCAUCGCAUGAUGCAGUGUGAAAAACUCCGGUGGUAUAAGAUGGACCCGCGUUGGAUUAGCUAGUUGGUGAGGUAACGGCCCACCAAGGCGACGAUCCAUAGCCGAGCUGAGAGGGUGACCGGCCACAUUGGGACUGAGACACGGCCCAAACUCCUACGGGAGGCAGCAGUGGGGAAUAUUGCACAAUGGGCGAAAGCCUGAUGCAGCGACGCCGCGUGAGCGAAGAAGUAUUUCGGUAUGUAAAGCUCUAUCAGCAGGGAAGAUAAUGACGGUACCUGACUAAGAAGCACCGGCUAAAUACGUG